Ochotona princeps (American pika) is the source of this 89-nucleotide unclassified non-coding RNA. Its record names the gene 7SK. It matches the Rfam family "7SK RNA". Rfam says of the family: 7SK was discovered as an abundant small nuclear RNA in the mid-70s but a possible function has only recently been suggested. Two independent studies have found that 7SK RNA binds the CDK9/cyclin T complex (known as elongation factor P-TEFb). Lineage: Eukaryota; Metazoa; Chordata; Mammalia; Lagomorpha; Ochotonidae. The record is from Ensembl.
GGGCGACCUGGCUGCGACAUCUGUCACACAUUGUUUGCCAGGGUUGUUUCGGCUGAUCGGGCUGGCUAGGCGGCUGUCCCCUUCCCCCC